UCUCUUCUACUUCCUACCAUGGCCGAAUGCAUCAAGACACCAUACCAUUUCAAUUUUGGUCAUGGGUUAAACAAAGAACUUAAUGUCUAACUAAAAAAUGCUAAAAAAGAAAUCCAAGAGUCAUCAAUCCACCAUCACAUGUAUCAUUACAAAGCUUCACAUUUAGCAUGCAAAUGACAUCAACACAAAUCUACCUUAGCCGAAACUUAACUCAUCUUCAUGCCUCAUCA
RNAcentral lists this long non-coding RNA (230 nucleotides) under Gossypium barbadense (sea-island cotton). RNAcentral describes it as "long non-coding RNA (GBAR_LNC001261)". Lineage: Eukaryota; Viridiplantae; Streptophyta; Magnoliopsida; Malvales; Malvaceae. The record is from RNAcentral.